RNAcentral lists this ribosomal RNA (372 nucleotides) under Triticum aestivum (bread wheat). RNAcentral's name for it is "partial small subunit ribosomal RNA". Lineage: Eukaryota; Viridiplantae; Streptophyta; Magnoliopsida; Poales; Poaceae. The record is from RNAcentral.
CUUGAAUGGAAUUUCAUCGUUUCGGCUCUUUCGCGAAAGGGGUUGCACGGUCAUUUCAUAAAUUUGGUGUAUGCUUGCAUCUCUUCCCCAAGGUUCUCAGUCAUUAUUAAUGGCCAGCCUUUUGCAAAUUUUCGUAGCAAUAGAGGUUUAAGACAAGGUUGUCCCUUAUCGCCUUAUCUGUUUGUUCUUGCUAUUAAUGAGCUUUCUUUAAGCCUGCAUGAUGCUAUGAUACAAAAUCAACUGUCUGGCAUUUCUCUUGGUCCAAACUGUCCACCUAUUCAUUCAAUGCUUUUUGCUGAUGACUUGUUAGUUUGUGGUAAUGCCACAGUUCAGGAAGCUACCCAAAUGGCUCAUCUCAUCAACCACUUCUGU